GUCGAAUCUCUGUCUGACUUGUUGGCGAUCAGCGAUGGCGGGAGAAGUUCUGUUAGUAAACAAACAAAAUGGCGGCAUCGCAACUAGUAGUGCGGGACAUCGUGGGUUUGGAGAAGUUCACCGCCAUGAAAGAAAGAAGAACGGACUUUAAAUCACUGUCACAACCUGCGAGAUACAGGCAUGAAACUUUACAGACCUUCACCUGUGCUCACACCUGACAUUUACCUGCAGCACCUGAGCCUUCAGAGCAGUAGGCGGCGCUGCAGACCAGAUUACAACCACGUCAAAUCAUAGUUUCAGGUGAGGGUCAGAGAUUUCUGUUUGCUCUAGGAUUCAAACCACCAACCCUCAGCGUUGAUGUCAUCACUUCAUCUUUCUAGUCAGACAGUGAGAAAGUAAAAUAAAGAGUGAAUUGUCUAAAAGACUCAUAUUAGCUUCAGAUGAACUUCAGAACUCGUAUUGGACUGUGGACUGUUCGUCUACAGCGCUUUACCAAGAGAUUUGUAAAUGAGCAGUAUGGACGGGAGGAAAAAUGACGCUUGUCUUAAUGUGAAACUGUCUUUUUAAGUCAUUAGUGUAAUUAGAUUUUUGUAAACGAGGGCCCUGACUUCAUCCAGAGCUGCAGGGACUGAAGGAGUCUGAGGCGUUCAGGUGAAUCACUGCUGACAGGAAGUGAAAAACAGCUGAGCCCAGUUUCUGAAGAGACGAUGUUGAAUCAUAAUGUGGCGAGAGAGGAGGAGGAGUGGGUGGAGCUGACGUGAUACGAGCAAGCAGCAACCUCCACAUCUGACUGUACCAGGCUGACACACCUGUCAAUCACGAUGCUACUCCUGGCCAUAGUAAAUACAAGUCAUCAUCAGUCUUGGCCCUGAUUGGUUCACACACCUGCUGUACACAGAGCAGCCGUUAGAGCGAGGAGGUGAUACUGGAGCUGCAGUUUCUUCUGUGGUUCUGCUGAAGUCUAACAGUGCUACCAGCAGCAGAAUCAGCAGCAGCAGAACCAGCGCUGCCAGAACCAGCAGAGCUAUCCCCCACCCAGGUACGCCACCUCCGCCGCCGGCUGCAGGUGGUGUCGUACUCCCGGAUGUGAUUGGUUUGUUCGGG
Long non-coding RNA from Seriola aureovittata, 1104 nucleotides. RefSeq lists it as uncharacterized. Lineage: Eukaryota; Metazoa; Chordata; Actinopteri; Carangiformes; Carangidae. The transcript has 7 exons. The record is from RefSeq and is a predicted model, not a curated record.